CAGCAGGUAAACUGACUUCCCAUUGCUCAUUGGGAAAGCCAUACAAGCACAGAUUUUCCUUCUCCGGGUCACAUUGCCAAUGGAACACUUCAACAUCAGUAGUAAGGGCUUUAAUUAAGCCACUUCUGCGGCCUUUGAAAUCCUUGAAAACCUCUUCAACUGUUCGUGGGUUGUAUUGAGCUCCUGCUGCUGCUCCCUCCAUUCCGUUUUCUCUCUGUGUAUUGAAAUUUCAAAGCUCAGUUUUUUUUUUCUUCCUGUUUUUAUUUCUG
RNAcentral lists this unclassified non-coding RNA (269 nucleotides) under Hevea brasiliensis (rubber tree). Lineage: Eukaryota; Viridiplantae; Streptophyta; Magnoliopsida; Malpighiales; Euphorbiaceae. The record is from RNAcentral.